GACGAACGCUGGCGGCGUGCCUAAUACACGCAAGUAGAACGCUGAAGAGAGGAGCUUGCUCUUCUUGGAUGAGUUGCGAACGGGUGAGUAACGCGUAGGUAACCUGCCUUGUAGCGGGGGAUAACUAUUGGAAACGAUAGCUAAUACCGCAUAACAAUGGAUGACACAUGUCAUUUAUUUGAAAGGGGCAAUUGCUCCACUACAAGAUGGACCUGCGUUGUAUUAGCUAGUAGGUGAGGUAACGGCUCACCUAGGCGACGAUACAUAGCCGACCUGAGAGGGUGAUCGGCCACACUGGGACUGAGACACGGCCCAGACUCCUACGGGAGGCAGCAGUAGGGAAUCUUCGGCAAUGGGGGCAACCCUGACCGAGCAACGCCGCGUGAGUGAAGAAGGUUUUCGGAUCGUAAAGCUCUGUUGUAAGUCAAGAACGAGUGUGAGAGUGGAAAAUUCACACUGUGACGGUAGCUUACCAGAAAGGGACGGCUAACUACGUGCCAGCAGCCGCGGUAAUACGUAGGUCCCGAGCGUUGUCCGGAUUUAUUGGGCGUAAAGCGAGCGCAGGCGGUUUGAUAAGUCUGAAGUUAAAGGCUGUGGCUCAACCAUAGUUCGCUUUGGAAACUGUCAAACUUGAGUGCAGAAGGGGAGAGUGGAAUUCCAUGUGUAGCGGUGAAAUGCGUAGAUAUAUGGAGGAACACCGGUGGCGAAAGCGGCUCUCUGGUCUGUAACUGACGCUGAGGCUCGAAAGCGUGGGGAGCGAACAGGAUUAGAUACCCUGGUAGUCCACGCCGUAAACGAUGAGUGCUAGGUGUUGGAUCCUUUCCGGGAUUCAGUGCCGCAGCUAACGCAUUAAGCACUCCGCCUGGGGAGUACGACCGCAAGGUUGAAACUCAAAGGAAUUGACGGGGGCCCGCACAAGCGGUGGAGCAUGUGGUUUAAUUCGAAGCAACGCGAAGAACCUUACCAGGUCUUGACAUCCCGAUGCUAUUUCUAGAGAUAGAAAGUUACUUCGGUACAUCGGUGACAGGUGGUGCAUGGUUGUCGUCAGCUCGUGUCGUGAGAUGUUGGGUUAAGUCCCGCAACGAGCGCAACCCCUAUUGUUAGUUGCCAUCAUUCAGUUGGGCACUCUAGCGAGACUGCCGGUAAUAAACCGGAGGAAGGUGGGGAUGACGUCAAAUCAUCAUGCCCCUUAUGACCUGGGCUACACACGUGCUACAAUGGUUGGUACAACGAGUUGCGAGUCGGUGACGGCAAGCUAAUCUCUUAAAGCCAAUCUCAGUUCGGAUUGUAGGCUGCAACUCGCCUACAUGAAGUCGGAAUCGCUAGUAAUCGCGGAUCAGCACGCCGCGGUGAAUACGUUCCCGGGCCU
Molecule: ribosomal RNA, 1369 nt
Filed under: uncultured bacterium
Lineage: Bacteria
Description: bacterial SSU rRNA
Rfam family: Bacterial small subunit ribosomal RNA
Source: RNAcentral